Molecule: ribosomal RNA, 259 nt
Filed under: uncultured bacterium
Lineage: Bacteria
Description: partial small subunit ribosomal RNA
Rfam family: Bacterial small subunit ribosomal RNA
Source: RNAcentral
AGGAUGAACGCUGGCGGCGUGCUUAACACAUGCAAGUCGAACGGUGAAAGAGAGCUUGCUCUCUGGAUCAGUGGCGAACGGGUGAGUAACACGUGAGUAACCUGCCCUUGACUCUGGGAUAAGCACUGGAAACGGUGUCUAAUACCGGAUACGACUUCCGAAGGCAUCUUCUGGAAGUGGAAAGAAUUUCGGUCAAGGAUGGACUCGCGGCCUAUCAGCUAGUUGGUGAGGUAACGGCCCACCAAGGCGACGACGGGUA